Molecule: ribosomal RNA, 274 nt
Filed under: uncultured bacterium
Lineage: Bacteria
Description: partial 16S ribosomal RNA
Rfam family: Bacterial small subunit ribosomal RNA
Source: RNAcentral
AUACGUAGGGUGCGAGCGUUAAUCGGAAUUACUGGGCGUAAAGCGUGCGCAGGCGGCUUUGCAAGACAGAUGUGAAAUCCCCGGGCUCAACCUGGGAACUGCAUUUGUGACUGCAAGGCUAGAGUACGGUAGAGGGGGAUGGAAUUCCGCGUGUAGCAGUGAAAUGCGUAGAUAUGCGGAGGAACACCAAUGGCGAAGGCAAUCCCCUGGACCUGUACUGACGCUCAUGCACGAAAGCGUGGGGAGCAAACAGGAUUAGAAACCCCAGUAGUCC